GAAGCAAUCGGAAGUGGUUCCAAGAAAAGCCUCUAAGCUUCAGUCAUACGAGACCGUACCGCAAACCGACACAGGUGGGCGAGAUGAGUAUUCUAAGGCGCUUGAGAGAACUCGGGAGAAGGAACUCGGCAAAUUGGUACCGUAACUUCGGGAAAAGGUACGCCCCGGUAGCUUGAUUGGUUUACUCCAUGAGGGUGAAAGGGUUGCAAUAAACUGGUGGCUGCGACUGUUUAAUAAAAACACAGCACUCUGCAAACACGAAAGUGGACGUAUAGGGUGUGACGCCUGCCCGGUGCUGGAAGAUUAAAUGAUGGGGUGCAAGCUCUUGAUUGAAGUCCCAGUAAACGGCGGCCGUAACUAUAACGGUCCUAAGGUAGCGAAAUUCCUUGUCGGGUAAGUUCCGACCUGCACGAAUGGCGUAACGAUGGCCACACUGUCUCCUCCCGAGACUCAGCGAAGUUGAAAUGUUUGUGAUGAUGCAAUCUACCCGCGGCUAGACGGAAAGACCCCAUGAACCUUUACUGUAGCUUUGCAUUGGACUUUGAACCAAUCUGUGUAGGAUAGGUGGGAGGCUUUGAAGCGGGGACGCUAGUUCUCGUGGAGCCAACCUUGAAAUACCACCCUGGUUUGUUUGAGGUUCUAACCUUGGUCCGUUAUCCGGAUCGGGGACAGUGCAUGGUAGGCAGUUUGACUGGGGCGGUCUCCUCCUAAAGUGUAACGGAGGAGUUCGAAGGUACGCUAGAUACGGUCGGACAUCGUGUUGAUAGUGCAAUGGCAUAAGCGUGCUUAACUGCGAGACUGACAAGUCGAGCAGGUACGAAAGUAGGACAUAGUGAUCCGGUGGUUCUGUAUGGAAGGGCCAUCGCUCAACGGAUAAAAGGUACUCUGGGGAUAACAGGCUGAUUCCUCCCAAGAGUUCAUAUCGACGGGGGAGUUUGGCACCUCGAUGUCGGCUCAUCACAUCCUGGGGCUGUAGCCGGUCCCAAGGGUAUGGCUGUUCGCCAUUUAAAGUGGUACGUGAGCUGGGUUUAAAACGUCGUGAGACAGUUUGGUCCCUAUCUGCCGUGGGCGUUGGAAAUUUGAAGGGGGCUGCUCCUAGUACGAGAGGACCGGAGUGGACGAACCUCUGGUGUACCGGUUGUCACGCCAGUGGCAUUGCCGGGUAGCUAAGUUCGGAAGAGAUAACCGCUGAAAGCAUCUAAGCGGGAAACUUGCCUUGAGAUGAGAUUUCCCAGAGCCUUGAGCUCUUUGAAGGGUCGUUCGAGACCAGGACGUUGAUAGGCUGGGUGUGGAAGUGCAGUAAUGCAUUAAGCUAACCAGUACUAAUUGCCCGUACGGCUUGUCCC
RNAcentral lists this ribosomal RNA (1346 nucleotides) under Janthinobacterium lividum. Its description in RNAcentral is "bacterial LSU rRNA". It matches the Rfam family "Bacterial large subunit ribosomal RNA", at positions 1587 to 2925 of the family's 2925-position model. The record is from RNAcentral. Lineage: Bacteria; Pseudomonadati; Pseudomonadota; Betaproteobacteria; Burkholderiales; Oxalobacteraceae.